RNAcentral lists this ribosomal RNA (253 nucleotides) under uncultured bacterium. RNAcentral describes it as "partial 16S ribosomal RNA". It matches the Rfam family "Bacterial small subunit ribosomal RNA", at positions 524 to 776 of the family's 1533-position model. The record is from RNAcentral.
UACGAGGGGGGCAAGCGUUGUUCGGAAUUAUUGGGCGUAAAGAGCUCGUAGGCGGCUUGUCACGUCGAUUGUGAAAGCCCGAGGCUUAACCUCGGGUCUGCAGUCGAUACGGGCUAGCUAGAGUGUGGUAGGGGAGAUCGGAAUUCCUGGUGUAGCGAUGAAAUGCGCAGAUAUCAGGAGGAACACCGGUGGCGAAGGCGGAUCUCUGGGCCAUUACUGACGCUGAGGAGCGAAAGCGUGGGGAGCAAACAGG